GAUGAACGCUGGCGGCGUGCCUAAUACAUGCAAGUCGAGCGAACGGACGAGAAGCUUGCUUUUCUGAUGUUAGCGGCGGACGGGUGAGUAACACGUGGAUAACCUACCUAUAAGACUUUUAUAACUUCGGGAAACCGGAGCUAAUACCGGAUAAUAUUUUGAACCGCAUGGUUCAAAAGUGAAAGACGGUCUUGCUGUCACUUAUAGAUGGAUCCGCGCUGCAUUAGCUAGUUGGUAAGGUAACGGCUUACCAAGGCAACGAUGCAUAGCCGACCUGAGAGGGUGAUCGGCCACACUGGAACUGAGACACGGUCCAGACUCCUACGGGAGGCAGCAGUAGGGAAUCUUCCGCAAUGGGCGAAAGCCUGACGGAGCAACGCCGCGUGAGUGAUGAAGGUCUUCGGAUCGUAAAACUCUGUUAUUAGGGAAGAACAUAUGUGUAAGUAACUGUGCACAUCUUGACGGUACCUAAUCAGAAAGCCACGGCUAACUACGUG
Molecule: ribosomal RNA, 497 nt
Filed under: uncultured bacterium
Lineage: Bacteria
Description: partial 16S ribosomal RNA
Rfam family: Bacterial small subunit ribosomal RNA
Source: RNAcentral